Molecule: ribosomal RNA, 682 nt
Filed under: uncultured bacterium
Lineage: Bacteria
Description: bacterial SSU rRNA
Rfam family: Bacterial small subunit ribosomal RNA
Source: RNAcentral
GGCGGCAUGCUUACACAUGCAAGUCGAACGGUAGAGUAGCAAUACUUGAGAGUGGCGAACGGGUGAGUAAUAUAUCGGAACGUGCCCAGUCGUGGGGGAUAACGUAGAGAAAUUUACGCUAAUACCGCAUACGAUCUACGGAUGAAAGCGGGGGAUUCGCAAGAACCUCGCGCGAUUGGAGCGGCUGAUAUCAGAUUAGGUUGUUGGUGAGGUAAAAGCUCACCAAGCCGACGAUCUGUAGCUGGUUUGAGAGAACGACCAGCCACACUGGGACUGAGACACGGCCCAGACUCCUACGGGAGGCAGCAGUGGGGAAUUUUGGACAAUGGGCGAAAGCCUGAUCCAGCAAUGCCGCGUGCAGGAAGAAGGCCUUCGGGUUGUAAACUGCUUUUGUACGGAACGAAACGGUCCGCUUUAAUACAGUGGGCUAAUGACGGUACCGUAAGAAUAAGCACCGGCUAACUACGUGCCAGCAGCCGCGGUAAUACGUAGGGUGCGAGCGUUAAUCGGAAUUACUGGGCGUAAAGCGUGCGCAGGCGGUUAUAUAAGACAAUUGUGAAAUCCCCGGGCUCAACCUGGGAAUUGCAUCUGUGACUGUAUAGCUAGAGUACGGUAGAGGGGGAUGGAAUUCCGCGUGUAGCAGUGAAAUGCGUAGAUAUGCGGAGGGACACCGAUGGCGAAG